This 400-nucleotide ribosomal RNA is filed under the name uncultured bacterium. Its description in RNAcentral is "bacterial SSU rRNA". It matches the Rfam family "Bacterial small subunit ribosomal RNA", at positions 355 to 772 of the family's 1533-position model. The record is from RNAcentral.
UGGGGAAUAUUGGACAAUGGGCGAAAGCCUGAUCCAGCAAUGCCGCGUGAGUGAUGAAGGCCUUAGGGUUGUAAAGCCCUUUCACCGGGGAAGAUAAUGACGGUACCCGGAGAAGAAGCCCCGGCUAACUCCGUGCCAGCAGCCGCGGUAAUACGUAGGGUGCGAGCGUUAAUCGGAAUUACUGGGCGUAAAGCGUGCGCAGGCGGUUUUGUAAGCCAGAUGUGAAAGCCCCGGGCUCAACCUGGGAAUGGCAUUUGGGACUGCAAGGCUUGAGUGCGGCAGAGGAGACUGGAAUUCCUGGUGUAGCAGUGAAAUGCGUAGAUAUCAGGAGGAAUACCGAUGGCGAAGGCAGGUCUCUGGGCUGACACUGACGCUCAUGCACGAAAGCGUGGGGAGCAAA